This 186-nucleotide unclassified non-coding RNA is filed under the name fungal sp. RNAcentral's name for it is "partial internal transcribed spacer region". The stretch from base 1 to 46 matches the Rfam family "Eukaryotic small subunit ribosomal RNA", at positions 1786 to 1831 of the family's 1831-position model. The record is from RNAcentral. Lineage: Eukaryota; Fungi.
AAGUCGUAACAAGGUCUCCGUUGGUGAACCAGCGGAGGGAUCAUUACCGAGUACUAUAACUCAUAACCCUUUGUGAACCUUCAUACCUGUUGCUUCGGCGGCGCCCCCUCUGCGGGGCUGCUGCUCCGCCGGCUUCAAAAUAUUUUAAAAAAUACAAACCAUUUCAGUGGAUCCCUUGGCUCGUGG